This is a long non-coding RNA of Neopsephotus bourkii (Bourke's parrot), 3494 nucleotides long. RefSeq lists it as uncharacterized. The transcript is spliced from 3 exons. Lineage: Eukaryota; Metazoa; Chordata; Aves; Psittaciformes; Psittacidae. The record is from RefSeq and is a predicted model, not a curated record.
ACCAAACCAUGGAUAUAUGAGCGCAAUGCAGCAUGUUGCUUCCCCAGACAUUAUUCUAAAAGAGGACUCUGCACAUGAAAAAACCUAACUGUUACACGUCAUCCUCAGAAACUGAACAAAUCCAGUAACAUUCCUUUUCUUAAUAUUUCUUGUUUAUAAAUCUCUGCAGCUUGGUUUUUACACGUGUGUGCUCUUAGGAUUGUGCUGAUGUGUUUUCAGCUGUAAGCAAACGCCAUCAGAUCUGUGAUAGUUGACACCUGUACUUUUUGUAUUGGAUGCAUGGCUGAAAACUUGGCUUGUCCUAUGUGCAGUUUUAUCAUUUUGUACAAAAGGCUGAAUUCUGCAACUAUUAUUGCAAAGUAAGAAUUUACUUCAAAAUUACGAUUUCAAAAAAAAGCUUUAGUACUUGAUUAUGACCAGUAAUGCUGAUAAAGUCAGUAGAAAUGCUGAUGUUAAAACAGAGAGAUGUUUGUCUAUGAGUUGAUAACUUAGAGCAUGUGAUUUUCCUUGAACAUAAUCAGUGUUCCUUUUUAACCUUUAAAUAUAUUGUUUUCAUAUUUACUUAAUUUUUCCACUUAAUUCCAGAAUAGUCAUUGUCUUUCAUCUCCAAUUCUAAGUUCUCAAUUCGGGGUUCAUUGUAAACCAUAGUUUUCUUUCCCAGUAACUUUGUGUCUCUCUUAGUUACGCGGGUUCUGGUGAGCUGCCAGCUCCUCACCAUGUUCUGCAGGACUGUGGUGAUCACGCAGCGCACUUCAUUGUACUAUUUGUUUACUGAUAAGGAGCAUAGAUAGAAAUUCCAGUGUCUCUAGGUGGCUAGACAGAAGUUCUGAAAUGAACCUGCAUGAGUUUGUUAGGCACUGUUGCUUGCCACGAGCCUUUCUGUCUCAAAAGCAGCAUGCAUGAAAGCACGUGUACAGAGCACCCUGCUUGUACCUUCCAUUUCCCUUGUGGAGAGUGGAGAGGAAAAGACCACACAUGGUUUAUAUUCUUCAGGACGUUACUGAAAAAGCCUUGGAUACAUUAGAAACAGUAGAUAAGGACCUGAAAGAAAUACUGUCUGACAAAUUUGCAUUUUACAUUUUGUGCCAAAAAGGCUUUUGUUGCCAGCUGUGUGCCUAACAAUGUAAGCUGGCUGUAACACACUGAGAUCGUGAUACUAGGUAUUUUCACUUAAAUCCAUGAUGCUGAGGUUGACUAAACCCAGUUUAAAACUGAUUUGUAUAGCAGUCAUCAAUCCAGGAUUAGAACAAAAGCAAAUUUACCCACACACAGUUGCAGAAUAAAACCUUGACUUAAGGGUAGACAGCAUAAGGAAUUUUAGAAAGAGUUUCAAGAGGAUUUGAGAGGUUUGGGCAGUUUUCCUUUUCUCCUUAUCUCAGUCUAGAAUUUGUCAUCUAUUGAGCACGUACUUGGCAGUAUUCUAUUGGUGAGCAUGCAGGUUAAACAUUUGAUUUAUAUUAGCACUUUUCCUAACUUGUACCCUGCCCCUUCCUUGCUCACCAUGUUUUCAAUUUGAGCUGAUUUAUAAACAGUGGUUAAACCAUGACAUCAGAUUAAUAGAAUUGAUCUGUUUCAGUGGUUCCAUGUUUAAUCUUCAGUGGCAGUGUUGGCUUUUUCCCAUCCUCGUGCUGCUUCUCACGUUGCUUCAGUGUAAACAGCAGUGCAUUUGGUCAGUGAAGCAGACUGGGGACUGAAGGUGAUGCUUGGGAGAGCUGGAGAAAUACAUCCAUGUCUGAAUCAGUUUGCCAGUCUCAUUCUUUGUCUAUAUCCCGCUCCCAAACGCAAGCAAUGACUGGUCCAGUCACUUAUGCUGACACAGAGCACUGUGCUUUGUCAGGGUCAGGAAUAAGCAGUGGAGGAACAGAGGGCAACUUAUAAUGGGCACUAUUGAAAAAUGUAAAAAACAGUCUUUUUCAGCAAGCAUGUAUUUUGAAUAUGAAGAGGUUUGCUCACUCUUGACUGUGGUAAUUUGAUUUGCUUAAUAAAAGGAGGAAUAUAGUCACUGGAGUUCUAUUAACUACCUGAUACACCAGAAUUGGACUUCUUAAUUGUCAUUCAUGAUGAUGGUAUAAAAAUUUUACAAGGGUUUUAACCAAAAAUACAGACUUCAUAUCAAAUGAAGCUACACAAAUACGUAUUGAAAUGCAGACUUGCAAAACAGCAAUUAUAAUAAAAGCAGGCUUAACAUCGUAGCCUUUCAGAUAAAAGUAAAAUGCCUUCUUGUAUAUAGGUGGUGAAAACUGCCAGCUAAAUUUUCAGAGUGAAGACCUAAUUUAGUAAAACUGGUGGACUUUUAUUAGAGAAUUUCUUUCUAGUGGGUUGGCCAGUUAAAUCUCUAGCAUGUGUUGGAAGAACGUAAUGAAAAAGUUACUUGAAUCUUGUAUGAUGCACUUACAGUAAGGAAUUAAGUUCUGCAGAAAACAAAAUGUUUGAGUAGUUUUUCUUCUACAUUUUAUUGUAAAAGUGAAACAGGAACAGAAUUAAUCCCAUUCAGGUUUAGUUAAAUAUGCAAGUGAUGAAUUAUAUACUAGUGUUAAAUUCCCUCAGUUAAACGGUGCUUCUGAUUUUCUUUAAGGCCCUACGAUCGUACCUUCUCUCAAAUGGCAGCUGUAUGUCUAGAAUCAACCUCUAGACUCAUGUGACUAUACUGCUGUUAGCUUUGCAUGGUGACUUCCACAUCUUAAGUGAUUAUUUUAACCUAACUUAGUUUCAGUUAGCUUUUGGGGGAGGGGUUAAUGACUGUGAUAAUUUUCUUAAAGCAAGAUGUUAAUGCAUAGAGAUUUUCCUUGGAUGAUUAACAAGCCUCAGUGCUAAUAAGACAUUCUGUUUUCUGCAGCUAGGAAAAGUGUCUACUUUAAAAUGUUUGCAUAGAUCUUUUCCAUUUCAGUCUGUUCUACUCAUUGUUAAACCCCAAGUUUUGAACUUGACUUUGUCCUUUUUAUUCUCUUGAGAAAAUUAUUCAUUGUUUAACCUUUUGCAUUACAUUGAGUGAUCUCUUUCUUCAACCUGGAGUCUAAUAUUAUUGUCUUAGAAUUAUUCCCCGGUGUGUCUUGCAGAGGAGAGGAGAGAGGGGACUAUGUUUGCUUAUUCUUAUGUCUCUCGUGCUUGUUUUCCCUUGCUUAGUGUGAAGAUAAUCACAAUAUUAAUAAAAGUCUGUUCUUCCUCUAUAGACCUUGCCUCAUUUAUUAUGAAAUUGAAAUAAUAACGAAAAUAAAAUUUAUUACAUUUCAGUUUCUCAUAUUAUGUAGUUGGAAGUCAGUCAUCUCACACUGCUGGUGUGUAUGUAAUAGUGUCACUAAUACUCCACACUAGUAUAUGUUUACUUUAAUCAAUUCUGUAACAAAUUGUCAAUGGGAAUAGUUUCCCUUUAGAGAAAAGGAAUUAAUGUUCUAUAAAAUUAUGGCAAGUACUUUAUAGGAAAGAAACAAAAGGGUGCUUGACCUUGGUUGAAAGAAGACAUCAUGAGGGAAUAACAUGUAAAGGUUACUUCAGUG